RNAcentral lists this long non-coding RNA (494 nucleotides) under Mytilus galloprovincialis (Mediterranean mussel). The record is from RNAcentral. Lineage: Eukaryota; Metazoa; Mollusca; Bivalvia; Mytilida; Mytilidae.
GUAAACGUCAAAAACUCCAUUCCAAUUCCCCUGUACCCAUAUCAUAUAUACUCUAUAGAUAGAAUCAUAUACAUUUAUCUUAUCUCAUUCUAUCCCUAGUUUUUCUACUCUUUGUCAGCAUAAAAGCGAGUUUAAUAUUUUGUAACUGCAACUGUAUGAUGGUGCUUACAGGAAAGCUUAAUUCCCUUUUGCAAACAAAACUGUUACUACCGAUGCUGCUACCAAAUUGCUGAUGGAGAAGGAAUUAUAAGAAGACAUUGAUCAUUGUGUUGAUGAUAAUGUGCUUCCUUUAGAAACACUGACUGCCCUGAAACGACUGAAAACUUGGAAAAGAGCAUGCAUGAGUGGCGAGAGAUUGUGCGGGCUUGCCAUGUUCAUCGCGAUAAGGAUAUCAGCAGACCAAAUUAUGAUUCUGAAACGAGUUGACUGAACCGGCCAUAGAAAAAUUUGGCAAACUCUACUGAAUCGAUGUUUGUUCUAUGUUCUGGUAGCAG